RNAcentral lists this ribosomal RNA (449 nucleotides) under uncultured fungus. Its description in RNAcentral is "partial 18S ribosomal RNA". Lineage: Eukaryota; Fungi. The record is from RNAcentral.
GAAGUUUUGAAGUUGUUUUCUACUAAAAGAAAUCUUGUGUUGACUGAAUUAGUUUAAAAAAAUAUUUGUUUGUGUUUGCAUCCACUGGGAGAACUCCCUCCCGAAAGAGAGCGUUCCCCCAACGAACAAAAGAAUAGUAGUAAAGUAAACUCCACUGUGUGUAGUAAUUAGAAAGUGUCGAGUCGUGUGAUAAAACACCUCCUUUGGAAUAGAGAGAUCCACGCACACUCCCAGGUCUUUGUCGGCUCCCUCCCCCCACUGCAGAACACCCACCAACCGCGCACUUAAGCGCAGGCAGGAGAAAUAGCAUUCACAGCAGAGAAAAUAUUUUAGGAGCCUCCUGAGUAUCUACACUGGUCCUCCCCAGAGAUGUCUCUCUCCGAGCUCAGACAAAUCAAUUAAAUUUCUUUAAUGAUCCUUCCGCAGGUUCACCUACGGAAAUCGAAUUC